UGAAUCAAGAGGUGUGAGCCGAGUUAAGGGGGUCGGCUAAGAAGAAUGGAGGUUUAAACUUAUUUCACUUGUGACCACGUGGCUAGCAAGGAAUUAACUUCUCCAAGGAGAGCUUUGUUACCUACCAACGGAUACUUAGAGACCACAGAAAGAAUCUCAACUCCUCUAAUAGUACUUCGUUAGGAAUGAGAUACUUGGGCGCAGGAAUUAACAUUUGCAGCCCUAUCCGUAUUACUCUUACAAACUCUGCACCACGUUUUGUGCCCCUUUAUUUUCUUCUGUCAAGAACGUUUAAACUUUCCUUUCCAGGCACAGUUCUCUGUAGUUUGCAUAAAAGUUUUAGCAAGUAAGCAACAAAAUUAAGCAAUUUUAUGACUUGAGGAUUGAAUCGAUACACUGAGGAUGGUGGAGGAGGAAGACAGGAAAAGCUGCAGGCCCUCUAACUUUGUAGAGCUGCCUAUCAGCUGCCUGACUCCAUUUAAGUAAGAGAAUAAAAAUCCUAAUUCCUUCAAACUACUGUAGUAACGUCUUUUUAACCAGCAGCUGGCAAGUAAUUCCUGGUGGAUUCAAGGAAAUUUAUACUAUUUUUAAGCUCUCUGAAAACUGAACCUCCCUUAUUACACGUAAGUCUUCUUUUUACCUCUCUCCAUUUUAUUUUCCUUCUCAUGUUCAAGUGUGUGAAUGAAGCCAGCCCAAUUCCAAUCUCUCCAUGCUCCCAGUCUUAUCUCCCCAGUCCAAACUCCACACUCUUGCCUACAUUAUCUUCUGAAAACACCCAUCAGCCAUGUGAUAUAGUAAUUAAAGUCUGUAAUCAGAAAAAUCUAUGUGUUAUUUCUUCUCUGAAACCAGAUGUUUGAUGUAAAACAAGUCAGCCUCCCUAGCUUCAAUCUCAUGGGUAAAAUGGGAAAGAGAAUGCCUUUCUGAUACAAUUGCGCUCAGAAUUAAAUUAAUAUAUGUAAAGAAGUUGGCACAUGGAAAGCUACUAAGGUAGGCUAAUGGGAUUGUCAUUCCCCAAUUAAAUCCUUAGGGAAAUUAUGAAGAGAAUUUUUGAAAAACAAAAUGGAGACAUAAAAAAGAACAGAAAAAUUAGAAAGCUGUACUGUAUUCUUGAACAGCAAGGCUUAAUAAAAUCAACCUCUCCCCAAGUAACAUAUGACAUAGCCUCUGCCUGCACACAUAACAGUGUAUUGCUGGAUUUUGACUACAUUCAAACAUGAGAGUUUAAUCAGAUUUUACCCAUCCUGAUAAAAGUGCCAUUAAAGUAAAAAUCCUGGAACUGUUCCUUAAAAAACAAUUUGUAAGUGUACAAUUCCAUGAUUUUAGUAAAUUUAUGCAGUUGUGCAACCAUCACCAUAAUCUAAUUUUAGAACAUUUCCAUCACCCCCAUUUUGUUAUUUCUUGCACUUACCCAUAACCUUAGGGAACCACUGUUCUGCUUUCUGUCUAUAAAUUUGUCUACAUUCCAUGUAAGUGGAAUCCUAACAUGUAGUCUGUUGCGACUGGCUUCUUUCAAUUAGCAUAAUGAUUUUGAGGUUCAUCCAUUUUUGUAACAAUUUUUUUUUAACA
This is a long non-coding RNA of Aethalodelphis obliquidens (Pacific white-sided dolphin), 1566 nucleotides long. RefSeq lists it as uncharacterized. The transcript has 3 exons. The record is from RefSeq and is a predicted model, not a curated record. NCBI's taxonomy places the organism in Eukaryota, Metazoa, Chordata, Mammalia, Artiodactyla, Delphinidae.